GCCUUCGCGGUGUAGUGGUCUACAUGCUCGACGCCUAAUCGAGAGGUUCGUGGUUCGAUUCCCGGCGAAGGCG
Molecule: non-coding RNA, 73 nt
Organism: Stegodyphus mimosarum
Lineage: Eukaryota; Metazoa; Arthropoda; Arachnida; Araneae; Eresidae
Source: Rfam